Long non-coding RNA from Salvelinus sp. IW2-2015, 407 nucleotides. RefSeq lists it as uncharacterized. Lineage: Eukaryota; Metazoa; Chordata; Actinopteri; Salmoniformes; Salmonidae. The record is from RefSeq and is a predicted model, not a curated record.
CACCCCCCAGGUGUCCCCAAAAGCCAGGUACCCCGGAGGUUCCCCAGACAUACAACAACACAGCCCUGGUGCUAUGGAAACCAGCCGACACCAAGCCCCCCUGUAGCUACUCUCUGGAGAGGAAGACAGAAGGUGAUGCCAACUGGCUGAUCAUAGCGACUGGAGUGGCUGACUGUUACUACAACGUCACAGGACCUGCCACCAGGGGCGCCUUUAGUUCAGAGUGGCCUGCGUCAACAAGGCUGGACAGGGACCCUACAGCAACACAUCGACAAAGUCAGCCUGGACUCAACAGUAGGCGUGUCCUCUCCAGCAGUGGCCAUUGUGAAGACAAUCUCCUCACCUCCCCCCCACCCUGCCCCAGCCGCUACCACCUUAGUGACUGUUAUCCCAAAGGUCAAACCAGC